CCUCCCAUCCGUGUCUAUUGUACCCUGUUGCUUCGGCGGGCCCGCCGCUUGUCGGCCGCCGGGGGGGCGCCUCUGCCCCCCGGGCCCGUGCCCGCCGGAGACCCCAACACGAACACUGUCUGAAAGCGUGCAGUCUGAGUUGAUUGAAUGCAAUCAGUUAAAACUUUCAACAAUGGAUCUCUUGGUUCCGGCAUCGAUGAAGAACGCAGCGAAAUGCGAUAACUAAUGUGAAUUGCAGAAUUCAGUGAAUCAUCGAGUCUUUGAACGCACAUUGCGCCCCCUGGUAUUCCGGGGGGCAUGCCUGUCCGAGCGUCAUUGCUGCCCUCAAGCCCGGCUUGUGUGUUGGGUCGCCGUCCCCCUCUCCGGGGGGACGGGCCCGAAAGGCAGCGGCGGCACCGCGUCCGAUCCUCGAGCGUAUGGGGCUUUGUCACAUGCUCUGUAGGAUUGGCCGGCGCCUGCCGACGUUUUCCAACCAUUCUUUCCAGGUUGACCUCGGAUCAGGUAGGGAUACCCGCUGAACUUAAGCAUAUCAAUAAGCGGAGGAAAUU
RNAcentral lists this ribosomal RNA (548 nucleotides) under Aspergillus niger. RNAcentral's name for it is "eukaryotic LSU rRNA". The stretch from base 162 to 315 matches the Rfam family "5.8S ribosomal RNA". The record is from RNAcentral. Lineage: Eukaryota; Fungi; Ascomycota; Eurotiomycetes; Eurotiales; Aspergillaceae.